AUGGCCCAAAUAGAAAUCCCCAAAUUAAAAAAACUUAGCUGCCCUCCCUCCUUCCUCGGCGCAAACUGCCGCUCCACCGGCCGUCGGAGCGUCGUCUGCUCCAGUCCCCGUCGUCGCCGGCGUCUCGUCUUGGCGGAAGUUCCUCCGUCGCCAUCUGUUGCAAAGGGCAGAGGAAGCUCCAAAUCGGAGACGGACGCAGCGGCGCUCCCUUCGUCGCCGCCCGUCGGCUCCCUUUCCGGUCGGCGCCGCCUCAGCGCUGUGGGGGAAAGUUCUUCUUCCUUCCUUCAAUUCCAAUUCCCCAAAUUGGAAAUCUUUGAUGAAGAAGGCCCAACGGCAUCUACGCCGCUGCCUCGCUUAUGUUGCGCCGUCGGAGAAGGAGUGGAGGCAUCGUCUCUCUCCCUCCGUGCGCACAGCUUUGCUUCGCGUUCGUGGUCCUCGACAGAAUGGCGCCGCCUCCCAUCCUCCGAACAGCGGAGAACCAUAGCUACCGACGACUCCAGCGGGAGCUGCAUUGAACUCAGCCGUGUUCUCCCACCGAUGCCCUCACCUUCACUGUUUCCGACUAGAAGCUAAGCUGCCCCUAACCCAACUUAACUUUCAUUCUACUGAUGGAAUAAACGUUAGCACUAUUUGAAGAAAACCUGUAUGUACACAUGAUGGGUUUCUAUGUUUUGAGGGUUGAGCACUCCUAAGCUGCUGAGUUUAAGUGGAAAGGCAACAACAUUUUGUUCCUCUGGUUUCAUUAUGUGAUAUAGCUCCAAACUUCCUUAUGCUUGGUUUUUUUUCUACUGAUUUACUUGAGGUUUAGCAUGCUAUUUGAGGUUCCUAAGUUGUGGUGCUUCUAUAUGAUGUUAAGUUGUAGUGUGGUUUACCUGAUAACUGCGGCCGCUUUGCAAAAGCUCCUAGACCUCACCUCUUUUACUCCUUAACUUGUUAUGUUGCUGGAAAAGUUCUUGAAGUGUGUGGGGGUAUUCAUAGGUGGUGUGGAGAUGGUUUUUAUAGCCAAACUCGUGUACUUGUGCAGCAUUAACUUGAGCUAUUGUAUGCCUUGUUUUCUUUCUGCAGCAACUUCAACUGCAACUUGGCUCCACGUGUACUUUAGUUAAUAAAUGGAACUUGUAUGCAGGGUUGUUAACUGAAAUCUGUAGAGCUGCUGCAGUUGUUCCCUUUCUUCUUAACUUGGAGCAGCCUUCGGUUAUGGCUGGGAGUGCAGUGGCUGUUGAAGCUGUGCUGCAUCUUUCCUCUCUUUUUCUGGCUCGUGGCAACCUGUGGUGAUGGCUGAGGAGUGCAGGCUGCUGCAUUGCCCCUUUUGUCCAGUUCUUGACUUCUCAACUAAAGUUUCUCAUAUUCAAGGAGAACAUGAAGUUUGGCUGGUUGUGGCCGAUGGUAGCCCUCGGCAAACAGGCUGCAUUCGCGGUCUAGGAAAGAGGUGGCUUGGACUCGUGAACAAUAGAUUCAAGGCGUUUAGCCCCUUGUUAUACCUAUGUAUAUUUUUUUUCUUUUUCUUUUUCUUUUUCUUUUUUUUUGUAACUAAUUCAUAGCUUGGAAUAUAUCAAUGUUGUAUUUUAUUUACUUAAAGGAAUAAACGGACACAUUUUCAUUUUUA
Molecule: long non-coding RNA, 1606 nt
Organism: Salvia splendens (bonfire salvia)
Lineage: Eukaryota; Viridiplantae; Streptophyta; Magnoliopsida; Lamiales; Lamiaceae
Exons: 2
Source: RefSeq, a predicted model, not a curated record